GUUGAUUUGAACAAAUAAACUCAUUCAAAGAAAUGUUUCCUGAAACUGCUUCUUACUAAUCUAGCCAACCAAUGAAGCACCGUAGAUGAAACUACCAAAUAUCACAACAUCUUUGGCUUUCUGGUGCAGAUCCACAUGAAGACUCUCACAUGAUACAACUGAAAUUCUUAAGGCCAGACAGGACUUUGCAUUGGAAGCUUUAAAAUGUGAUGUCUGACUUUGAAGAUGGUGUAUAACACUAAUCAUUUACUGUGCAUUGGUCUGAGUAAUGGAAAAUAAUCACUCUUAAAUCAUCUUCCUUUAAGUGUCAUAUUUAGGGUAACAUAUUGGUUGGUCAACGCCAAAAUACAUGUGACACUUAGAUUUUCAGACCACAUGAAAAUGUCUGAAAAGAAACAUUUAAAAAAUGACUAAGUAUGGGUUAUAUAUUGCAGCACUUUAAAAUUGUUUUCUGCCAUAUGAUUAGAAACAACCUGAAUGUUCAUCAAUAGGGGAUUAAAUAAAUUAUAGUCUAUCAUUCAUACCUGGAAGGUAGUAGUCCCCUGUUAUACAUAGGGGAUAGUUUUCAGCACCCCUAGUAGAUAUCUCAUACUGUGGAUAGUACUUGUCUGAAUCUACAUCCUGUUGCUGUAAUAGAAUACCUGAGAUCAUGUAAUUUAUAAAAAAUAAAAGGUUUCUUUUGUCUCACGAAUUUGGAGAGUGGCAAGUCCACAGCUUCUGUCUUCAUCACUGCUGUGGCAUUUUUCACAUUUUUUUUUGUUUCAAGGACAGAGUAUUUCAAAGGGUAUAUUGAACUUUCC
This 800-nucleotide long non-coding RNA is filed under the name Marmota monax (woodchuck). Lineage: Eukaryota; Metazoa; Chordata; Mammalia; Rodentia; Sciuridae. The record is from RNAcentral.